This 443-nucleotide ribosomal RNA is filed under the name uncultured bacterium. RNAcentral's name for it is "bacterial SSU rRNA". It matches the Rfam family "Bacterial small subunit ribosomal RNA", at positions 32 to 460 of the family's 1533-position model. The record is from RNAcentral.
AAUCAACGCUGGCGGCGUGCCUAACACAUGCAAGUCGAACGCGAAAGUGGAGCAAUCCAUGAGUAGAGUGGCAAACGGGUGAGUAACGCGUGGGCGACCUACCUUCGAGUGGGGGAUAACCUUCCGAAAGGAGGGCUAAUACCGCAUGACAUCCCGUGUUUGGAUACACGGACAUCAAAGCCGGGGAUCGUAAGACCUGGCGCUUGAAGAGGGGCCCGCGUCCGAUUAGCAGUUGGUGAGGUAACGGCUCACCAAGGCUCCGAUCGGUAUCCGGCCUGAGAGGGCGGACGGACACACUGGAACUGAGACACGGUCCAGACUCCUACGGGAGGCAGCAGUGAGGAAUUUUGGACAAUGGGGAAACCCUGAUCCAGCGACGCCGCGUGAAGGAUGAAGGUCUUCGGAUUGUAAACUUCUUUUGCCUGGGAAUAACGAACUCGUAG